Molecule: non-coding RNA, 860 nt
Organism: Arachis ipaensis
Lineage: Eukaryota; Viridiplantae; Streptophyta; Magnoliopsida; Fabales; Fabaceae
Source: RefSeq, a predicted model, not a curated record
CUUGAUUUCUUUUUUUAAGGAACAACUUCUCCGACAAAGCUCAAGGUGUGAAAUCUGCUGCAACGUGCUCCGGCUGAAGUUGCACCUGCCAAAGCGAUCCUCGAUUGCGGUUUAAUAGAAGAAGGCAGAGAUAAUAGGAGAUGUAUUCAUCCUAAUUUUGUAUUAUUGCUGAAAGUUUUCAAUUGCUCUCUCUUGCCUUUUGUGUUGUUCUUCCCUCCCCCUCUGAUUUGAACAACUGUGUUUUCAAUUUUAAAGAUUUUAUUAUCAGCUUAGAUGAUAUUGCUUGAGUUGUUCACCGUUCAAUUUGUCCCAUUGAUCUUUAGAGGUGAUGUAGUUAUUGUGCUACUAAUAAUUGAAAUUUUAAUUAUUAUAAUCGACAGAGUAUGGAAAUGACUAUGAGAUUAGCAAAUAUAUAAUUAUUUGUUGCACAUUAAAGAUACAAAUUUGUUGUCUUAACAUAGAUGUCGACAUAGAUAAAAGAACUUCUUAAUCUAAGGUUUACUCACUGCAUUAUUAUUCAACUUUGUUGGCCAAUUAUAAAUAAUUUUACUUCAUUAAAACUGUCAUUGCAGUGUUGUUUCGCGAGUACAGAAACCAAGUUCAUGGUAUAUAAUUAUAUCACUGGCUUUGUUGCAUGUUUGGUUCUUCUUCUUAAACUAUGUUUUGUUAGUAUUAUUGUUAUUGUUUGUGUUGAAGCUUGAUAUGAUUUGUUUUAUGUUCCUGGUGGGUUAAGUAGGAGAUUACAAAGAGACAUAUUAUAUUUGUCAUGUAGUUAGAUGCAAAUUAUAGCCUUUUUUACAAAGGAUUUAUGUAUAAUGUUAGUGUUUAUCAGUAUAAAAAGAAAAAGUCUUCACAUGUUG